Molecule: ribosomal RNA, 248 nt
Filed under: uncultured bacterium
Lineage: Bacteria
Description: partial 16S ribosomal RNA
Rfam family: Bacterial small subunit ribosomal RNA
Source: RNAcentral
GUCCUGGCUCAGGAUGAACGCUAGCUACAGGCUUAACACAUGCAAGUCGAGGGGAAACGAUAGAGAAAGCUUGCUUUUUCUAGGCGUCGACCGGCGCACGGGUGAGUAACGCGUAUCCAACCUGCCCACCACUUGGGGAUAACCUUGCGAAAGUAAGACUAAUACCCAAUGAUAUCUCUAGAAGACAUCUGAAAGGGAUUAAAGAUUUAUCGGUGAUGGAUGGGGAUGCGUCUGAUUAGCUUGUUGGG